GUGCCAGCAGCCGCGGUAAUACGAGGGGUGCAAGCGUUGCUCGGAAUUAUUGGGCGUAAAGGGUAGGUAGGUGGUCUCGUUUGUCAGGGGUGAAAGCCUUGGGCUUAACUCAAGAAGUGCCCCUGAAACGGCGAGACUCGAGUUCUGGAGAGGGUCGUGGAAUUCCCGGUGUAGCGGUGAAAUGCGUAGAGAUCGGGAGGAACACCAGAGGCGAAGGCGGCGACCUGGACAGAUACUGACACUCAACUACGAAAGCGUGGGGAGCAAACAGGAUUAGAAACCCCUGUAGUCC
RNAcentral lists this ribosomal RNA (292 nucleotides) under uncultured bacterium. RNAcentral describes it as "partial 16S ribosomal RNA". It matches the Rfam family "Bacterial small subunit ribosomal RNA", at positions 505 to 796 of the family's 1533-position model. The record is from RNAcentral.